This 68-nucleotide transfer RNA is filed under the name Scylla tranquebarica (purple mud crab). RNAcentral describes it as "tRNA-Trp". The record is from RNAcentral. Lineage: Eukaryota; Metazoa; Arthropoda; Malacostraca; Decapoda; Portunidae.
AGGAUUUUAAGUUAUAAAAACUAAAAGCCUUCAAAGCUUAAAAAAAAAGAAUUCUCUUUUAAAUCCUA